GUCCUAGCAUGAGGCUCAGUGAAAUCGAAAUCGCCGUGAAGAUGCGGUGUACCCGCGGCUAGACGGAAAGACCCCGUGAACCUUUACUGCAGCUUGACAUUGAACUUUGAUCUUACUUGUGUAGGAUAGGUGGGAGGCUUUGAAGCUAGACGCCAGUUGCUAUGGAGCCCUCCUUGAAAUACCACCCUGGUAAUAUUGAAGUUCUAACUCUGCCUUCCGGAACAAGGACCUUGUCUGGGGGGUAGUUUGAUUGGGGGGGCCUCCUCCUAAAAAGUAAGGGAGGGGCCGAAAAGGUUACCUU
This 301-nucleotide ribosomal RNA is filed under the name uncultured Borrelia sp. RNAcentral describes it as "partial 23S ribosomal RNA". It matches the Rfam family "Bacterial large subunit ribosomal RNA", at positions 2018 to 2323 of the family's 2925-position model. The record is from RNAcentral. Lineage: Bacteria; Pseudomonadati; Spirochaetota; Spirochaetia; Spirochaetales; Borreliaceae.